GUGGGGAAUCUUGCGCAAUGGGCGAAAGCCUGAUCCAGCAAUGCCGCGUGAGUGAAGAAGGCCUUAGGGUUGUAAAGCUCUUUUACCCGGGAUGAUAAUGACAGUACCGGGAGAAUAAGCUCCGGCUAACUCCGUGCCAGCAGCCGCGGUAAUACGGAGGGAGCUAGCGUUGUUCGGAAUCACUGGGCGUAAAGCGCACGUAGGCGGCUUUGUAAGUUAGAGGUGAAAGCCCGGGGCUCAACUCCGGAACUGCCUUUAAGACUGCAUCGCUUGAAUCUGGGAGAGGUGAGUGGAAUUCCGAGUGUAGAGGUGAAAUUCGUAGAUAUUCGGAAGAACACCAGUGGCGAAGGCGGCUCACUGGACCAGAAUUGACGCUGAGGUGCGAAAGCGUGGGGAGCAAACAGGAUUAGAAACCCGAGUAGUCC
RNAcentral lists this ribosomal RNA (425 nucleotides) under uncultured bacterium. Its description in RNAcentral is "partial 16S ribosomal RNA". It matches the Rfam family "Bacterial small subunit ribosomal RNA", at positions 354 to 796 of the family's 1533-position model. The record is from RNAcentral.